CCUACGGGUGGCAGCAGUAGGGAAUAUUGCUCAAUGGGGGAAACCCUGAAGCAGCAACGCCGCGUGGACGAUGAAGGUUUUCGGAUUGUAAACUCCUUUUGUUAGGGAAGAUAAUGACGGUAACUAACGAAUAAGCACCGGCUAACUCCGUGCCAGCAGCCGCGGUAAUACGGAGGGUGCAAGCGUUACUCGGAAUCACUGGGCGUAAAGAUCGCGGAGGCGGGAUAGCAAGUCAGGUGUGAAAACCUAUGGCUUAACCAUAGCACUGCAUUUGAUACUGUUAUACUAGAGUAUGGGAGAGGUAAGUGGAAUUCUUGGUGUAGGGGUAAAAUCCGUAGAGAUCAAGAGGAAUACUCAUGGCGAAGGCGACCUACUGGGACAUAACUGACGCUGAGGCGCGAAAGCGUGGGGAGCAAACAGGAUUAGAUACCCCAGUAGUC
This 440-nucleotide ribosomal RNA is filed under the name uncultured bacterium. Its description in RNAcentral is "partial 16S ribosomal RNA". It matches the Rfam family "Bacterial small subunit ribosomal RNA", at positions 338 to 795 of the family's 1533-position model. The record is from RNAcentral.